RNAcentral lists this ribosomal RNA (253 nucleotides) under uncultured bacterium. Its description in RNAcentral is "partial 16S ribosomal RNA". It matches the Rfam family "Bacterial small subunit ribosomal RNA", at positions 524 to 776 of the family's 1533-position model. The record is from RNAcentral.
UACGAAGGGGGCUAGCGUUGUUCGGAAUCACUGGGCGUAAAGGGCGCGUAGGCGGCCUGUUAAGUCGAACGUGAAAUCUCCGGGCUCAACCCGGGAACUGCGUCCGAUACUGGCAGGCUUGAGUCCGGGAGAGGGAUGCGGAAUUCCAGGUGUAGCGGUGAAAUGCGUAGAUAUCUGGAGGAACACCGGUGGCGAAGGCGGCAUCCUGGACCGGCAUUGACGCUGAGGCGCGAAAGCCUGGGGAGCAAACGGG